Molecule: ribosomal RNA, 450 nt
Filed under: uncultured bacterium
Lineage: Bacteria
Description: partial 16S ribosomal RNA
Rfam family: Bacterial small subunit ribosomal RNA
Source: RNAcentral
GUGGGGAAUUUUGGACAAUGGGGGCAACCCUGAUCCAGCAAUGCAGCGUGCAGGAAGAAGGCCUUCGGGUUGUAAACUGCUUUUGUACGGAACGAAACGGUCCUGGUUAAUACCUGGGGCUAAUGACGGUACCGUAAGAAUAAGCACCGGCUAACUACGUGCCAGCAGCCGCGGUAAUACGUAGGGUGCAAGCGUUAAUCGGAAUUACUGGGCGUAAAGCGUGCGCAGGCGGUUUUGUAAGACAGGCGUGAAAUCCCCGGGCUCAACCUGGGAAUGGCGCUUGUGACUGCAAGGCUGGAGUGCGGCAGAGGGGGAUGGAAUUCCGCGUGUAGCAGUGAAAUGCGUAGAUAUGCGGAGGAACACCGAUGGCGAAGGCAAUCCCCUGGGCCUGCACUGACGCUCAUGCACGAAAGCGUGGGGAGCAAACAGGAUUAGAAACCCGGGUAGUCC